Molecule: ribosomal RNA, 120 nt
Organism: Sinocyclocheilus anshuiensis
Lineage: Eukaryota; Metazoa; Chordata; Actinopteri; Cypriniformes; Cyprinidae
Source: Ensembl
UUCGACAGCCAUAUCACCCUGUAGCCCAAAACUGGUUGCCCACUGAAGCUAAGCAGGGUUGAGCCUGGACAGUACCUGGAUGGGAGACCUCCUGGGAAACAACAGUUCAGGCUGGUGGUG